Molecule: ribosomal RNA, 252 nt
Filed under: Pectobacterium wasabiae
Lineage: Bacteria; Pseudomonadati; Pseudomonadota; Gammaproteobacteria; Enterobacterales; Pectobacteriaceae
Description: partial 16S ribosomal RNA
Rfam family: Bacterial small subunit ribosomal RNA
Source: RNAcentral
GCCUGGGGAGUACGGCCGCAAGGUUAAAACUCAAAUGAAUUGACGGGGGCCCGCACAAGCGGUGGAGCAUGUGGUUUAAUUCGAUGCAACGCGAAGAACCUUACCUACUCUUGACAUCCACAGAAUUCGGUAGAGAUACCUUAGUGCCUUCGGGAACUGUGAGACAGGUGCUGCAUGGCUGUCGUCAGCUCGUGUUGUGAAAUGUUGGGUUAAGUCCCGCAACGAGCGCAACCCUUAUCCUUUGUUGCCAGC